Molecule: ribosomal RNA, 661 nt
Filed under: Actinomycetales bacterium TLI225
Lineage: Bacteria; Bacillati; Actinomycetota; Actinomycetes; Actinomycetales
Description: partial 16S ribosomal RNA
Rfam family: Bacterial small subunit ribosomal RNA
Source: RNAcentral
UCUAAUACCGGAUANNANNNNNNNNNGCANNNNCUGUGUGUGGAAAGCUCCGGCGGUGAAGGAUGAGCCCGCGGCCUAUCAGCUUGUUGGUGGGGUGAUGGCCUACCAAGGCGACGACGGGUAGCCGGCCUGAGAGGGCGACCGGCCACACUGGGACUGAGACACGGCCCAGACUCCUACGGGAGGCAGCAGUGGGGAAUAUUGCACAAUGGGCGAAAGCCUGAUGCAGCGACGCCGCGUGAGGGAUGACGGCCUUCGGGUUGUAAACCUCUUUCANCAGGGAAGAAGCGAAAGUGACGGUACCUGCAGAAGAAGCGCCGGCUAACUACGUGCCAGCAGCCGCGGUAAUACGUAGGGCGCAAGCGUUGUCCGGAAUUAUUGGGCGUAAAGAGCUCGUAGGCGGCUUGUCACGUCGGAUGUGAAAGCCCGGGGCUUAACCCCGGGUCUGCAUUCGAUACGGGCAGGCUAGAGUUCGGUAGGGGAGAUCGGAAUUCCUGGUGUAGCGGUGAAAUGCGCAGAUAUCAGGAGGAACACCGGUGGCGAAGGCGGAUCUCUGGGCCGAUACUGACGCUGAGGAGCGAAAGCGUGGGGAGCGAACAGGAUUAGAUACCCUGGUAGUCCACGCCGUAAACGUUGGGAACUAGGUGUGGGCGACAUUCCA